UGGGUCUAAUACCGGAUAUGACCUUCUGUCGCAUGGCAGGGGGUGGAAAGUUUUUCGGCUGGGGAUGGGCCCGCGGCCUAUCAGCUUGUUGGUGGGGUGAUGGCCUACCAAGGCGACGACGGGUAGCCGGCCUGAGAGGGCGACCGGCCACACUGGGACUGAGACACGGCCCAGACUCCUACGGGAGGCAGCAGUGGGGAAUAUUGCGCAAUGGGCGAAAGCCUGACGCAGCGACGCCGCGUGGGGGAUGACGGCCUUCGGGUUGUAAACCUCUUUCGACCGGGACGAAGCGUAAGUGACGGUACCGGUAGAAGAAGCACCGGCCAACUACGUGCCAGCAGCCGCGGUAAUACGUAGGGUGCGAGCGUUGUCCGGAAUUAUUGGGCGUAAAGAGCUCGUAGGCGGUGUGUCGCGUCGGUCGUGAAAACUUGGGGCUCAACCCUGAGCUUGCGGUCGAUACGGGCAUCACUUGAGUUCGGCAGGGGAGACUGGAAUUCCUGGUGUAGCGGUGAAAUGCGCAGAUAUCAGGAGGAACACCGGUGGC
RNAcentral lists this ribosomal RNA (544 nucleotides) under Pseudonocardia sp. RNAcentral's name for it is "bacterial SSU rRNA". It matches the Rfam family "Bacterial small subunit ribosomal RNA", at positions 158 to 716 of the family's 1533-position model. The record is from RNAcentral. Lineage: Bacteria; Bacillati; Actinomycetota; Actinomycetes; Pseudonocardiales; Pseudonocardiaceae.